UGGGUUCGACACGUUUCGAUGCCCUCCCCGAAAGGGGAGUAAGCUGCCUUCGGGUGAAACUUUCAC
RNAcentral lists this ribosomal RNA (66 nucleotides) under uncultured bacterium. Its description in RNAcentral is "partial 16S ribosomal RNA". The record is from RNAcentral.